Molecule: ribosomal RNA, 1120 nt
Rfam family: Bacterial small subunit ribosomal RNA
CAUGCAAGUCGAACGAUGAAGCCCAGCUUGCUGGGUGGAUUAGUGGCGAACGGGUGAGUAACACGUGAGUAACCUGCCCUUAACUCUGGGAUAAGCCUGGGAAACUGGGUCUAAUACCGGAUAGGAGCGCCUACCGCAUGGUGGGUGUUGGAAAGAUUUAUCGGUUUUGGAUGGACUCGCGGCCUAUCAGCUUGUUGGUGAGGUAAUGGCUCACCAAGGCGACGACGGGUAGCCGGCCUGAGAGGGUGACCGGCCACACUGGGACUGAGACACGGCCCAGACUCCUACGGGAGGCAGCAGUGGGGAAUAUUGCACAAUGGGCGCAAGCCUGAUGCAGCGACGCCGCGUGAGGGAUGACGGCCUUCGGGUUGUAAACCUCUUUCAGUAGGGAAGAAGCGAAAGUGACGGUACCUGCAGAAGAAGCACCGGCUAACUACGUGCCAGCAGCCGCGGUAAUACGUAGGGUGCGAGCGUUAUCCGGAAUUAUUGGGCGUAAAGAGCUCGUAGGCGGUUUGUCGCGUCUGUCGUGAAAGUCCGGGGCUUAACCCCGGAUCUGCGGUGGGUACGGGCAGACUAGAGUGCAGUAGGGGAGACUGGAAUUCCUGGUGUAGCGGUGGAAUGCGCAGAUAUCAGGAGGAACACCGAUGGCGAAGGCAGGUCUCUGGGCUGUAACUGACGCUGAGGAGCGAAAGCAUGGGGAGCGAACAGGAUUAGAUACCCUGGUAGUCCAUGCCGUAAACGUUGGGCACUAGGUGUGGGGACCAUUCCACGGUUUCCGCGCCGCAGCUAACGCAUUAAGUGCCCCGCCUGGGGAGUACGGCCGCAAGGCUAAAACUCAAAGGAAUUGACGGGGGCCCGCACAAGCGGCGGAGCAUGCGGAUUAAUUCGAUGCAACGCGAAGAACCUUACCAAGGCUUGACAUGUUCUCGAUCGCCGUAGAGAUACGGUUUCCCCUUUGGGGCGGGUUCACAGGUGGUGCAUGGUUGUCGUCAGCUCGUGUCGGGAGAUGUUGGGUUAAGUCCCGCAACGAGCGCAACCUUCGUUCCAUGUUGCCAGCCNGUCAUGGGGGGGACUCAUGGGAAGACUGCCGGGGUCAACUCCGGAGGAAGGUGAGGACGAC